UACGUAGGUGGCAAGCGUUGUCCGGAUUUACUGGGUGUAAAGGGAGCGCAGGCGGGACGGCAAGUUGGAUGUGAAAAACUGAGGCUCAACCUCAGUCCUGCAUCCAAAACUGUUGUUCUUGAGUGGAGCAGGAGGUAAGCGGAAUUCCGAGUGUAGCGGUGAAAUGCGUAGAUAUUCGGAGGAACACCAGUGGCGAAGGCGGCUUACUGGACUCUAACUGACGCUGAGGCUCGAAAGCGUGGGGAGCAAACAGGAUUAGAUACCCCGGUAGU
This 272-nucleotide ribosomal RNA is filed under the name uncultured prokaryote. RNAcentral's name for it is "partial 16S ribosomal RNA". It matches the Rfam family "Bacterial small subunit ribosomal RNA", at positions 524 to 794 of the family's 1533-position model. The record is from RNAcentral.